RNAcentral lists this transfer-messenger RNA (390 nucleotides) under Betaproteobacteria bacterium. It matches the Rfam family "transfer-messenger RNA". Rfam says of the family: Bacterial tmRNA, also known as 10Sa RNA or SsrA, is named for its dual tRNA and mRNA-like properties. Its role is to liberate the mRNA from a stalled ribosome. To accomplish this part of the tmRNA is used as a reading frame that ends in a translation stop signal. Lineage: Bacteria; Pseudomonadati; Pseudomonadota; Betaproteobacteria. The record is from RNAcentral.
GGGGGUGAUCUGGUCUCGACGGGGGUUGCAAAGCAGCUUGGGGCAUGCCGAGGCGCUCAGUCCUCGUAAAACUCUGGCAAUCGCAAACUUAACUGCGAACGACGAAACGUACGCUCUGGCGGCUUAAUCCCGCCGGACCUCGCACCGGGGGGCGCUCAGCCCGGGUGAUCUAGCCGAGGGACGUAAGUCCCGACAGCGAAUCACGGCGAGGACAUUUCGAGCGAUCGCGUGUGCCCGGGUCACUUGGGCGACACGCUAAAAAUAGGUGACUGGUCUCGCCGCUGUAUGGCCGUCAACGGCGUCGGGAUGAGAGCACAAUGACUGCCUAAGCAUGUAGUCCCGACUGUAGAGUGCUUCCGGACGCGAGUUCGAUUCUCGCCACCUCCACCA